GACUAUAGGCUCGUCUCAAAGGUUAAGCCAUGCAUGUCUAAGUACAUACUGAAUUACAGUUGAGACCGCGGAUAGCUCAUUAAAUCAGCUGUAAUUUACUGGAUCUUGAUGACGACUGUCAUUACUUGGAUAACUGUGGCAAUCCUAGAGCUAAUACAUGCCAAAAGAAUCUCUUGCAAACCAGCGUGUAGCUCUGUCUCUCCGAACGUGCAGCAAUGCGCUAGUACGAGACGGCAUCUCGCGUGUAUGGUUUUAGUCAAGGGUGCACUUAUUAGAAGCAAAAGCAGGUCCCCUCGGGCUUCGGUCCGUAGAACGAACUGUCAUUAUGCUGACUCUGGGUAAAGAUUGCCAAGCGCAGUGUCCAAGUGCGCUGUUUCUUUCAAGUGUCUGCCCUAUCAGAUGGACUGUACGUUAUGUGCAUACAAUGUCUGUAACGGGUGACGGGGAAUCAGGGUUCGAUUCCGGAGAGGGAGCCUGAGAAACAGCUACCACAUCUAAGGAAGGCAGCAGGCACGCAAAUUACCCACUCCCGGCUCGGGGAGGUAGUGACGAAAAAUAACGAUGCGCGACUUCAUCCGAGGCCGCGCAAUCGGAAUGAGCACACUUUAAACACUUUAACGAGUAUCUAUUGGAGGGCAAGUCUGGUGCCAGCAGCCGCGGUAAUUCCAGCUCCAAUGGCCUAUGUUAAAGCUGUUGUGGUUAAAAAGCUCGUAGCUGGUCCUACGGGACCACCGGCUGAUGGUGGAGUGAAAUCCAAUGGCUAUUGUUUUCUUAACUGGGAUGAUAUGCCUUCCUUCACUGUCACGCCGGGUCUAAUCGCUUCCCCGGCAGAUAUUAUAACCUGCUGGGAGGCAAUCUGGCUGGCUCGCACGGGGUUGCUCUUCAUCGAGUGUCCCGAGUGGCUGGCAUGUUUACUUUGAAAAAAUUAGAGUGCUUAAAGCAGGCUACUAAGAAGGCCUGAAUGAUGAUGCAUGGAAUAAUGAAAUAAGGCAUCGUGUUCAUUUGCAUAUAGAGUCUGUUGUGCUUCUUCAAGCUGCAGGCUGGGAUCUGCUUUUCUAGCAAGGGUAGUUAUUGUGACCUAGUCGACAUCAUCUGCUGGCAACUGCUGCUUGGUGGCGACAUCAUCGGCUCUUGUUAUUAUAGCGUGUUGUCGUUCCUAGGUCCGAAUCAUACUGACUCCCUUCUGAACUACGAUACAAUGAUUAGCAGGGACUGAUGAGGGCAUUUGUACUGCGUGGUGAGAGGUGAAAUUCUUGGACCCUCGCAAGACAAACAAAGGCGAAAGCAUUUGCCAAGUAUGUUCCCACUAGUCAAGAACGAAAGUUAGAGGUUCGAAGGCGAUCAGAUACCGCCCUAGUUCUAACCGUAAACUAUGCUAACCAGUAAUCCGCCGGUCGUUAUAACAAUGACCCGGCAGGCAGCUUCCGGGAAACCAAAGUCUUUGAGUUCCAGGGGAAGUAUGGUUGCAAAUCUGAAACUUAAAGGAAUUGACGGAAGGGCACCACCAGGAGUGGAGCCUGCGGCUUAAUUUGACUCAACACGGGAAACCUCACCAGGUCCGGACACUAGAAUGAUUGACAGAAUGAAAGCUCUUUCUCGAUUCAGUGGGUGGUGGUGCAUGGCCGUUCUUAGUUGGU
RNAcentral lists this ribosomal RNA (1637 nucleotides) under Phylladiorhynchus phanus. RNAcentral's name for it is "SSU rRNA". It matches the Rfam family "Eukaryotic small subunit ribosomal RNA", at positions 21 to 1302 of the family's 1831-position model. Lineage: Eukaryota; Metazoa; Arthropoda; Malacostraca; Decapoda; Galatheidae. The record is from RNAcentral.